This is a long non-coding RNA of Zingiber officinale, 596 nucleotides long. RefSeq lists it as uncharacterized. NCBI's taxonomy places the organism in Eukaryota, Viridiplantae, Streptophyta, Magnoliopsida, Zingiberales, Zingiberaceae. The record is from RefSeq and is a predicted model, not a curated record. The transcript has 3 exons.
UUAAUUUUUAUCAUUUAUUUAAUUUUUUAUCCUUUAGUUAAUAUAUUAUUUAAUUAUAUAAAAAAUAGUAAUAAAAAUUUAACCGUCAAAGCACUAUCUAAGCAUUGCCUAGACGGUAGACGAUCACUAAUCGAACUAUCACCGUUUACCAUCAUUUACAACUAGUAUUUUCUUAAUUAUAUUUUACACUAGUGUCUGUAUGUAUGUAUGUAUGUAUGUGCUGAAGUGUGUCUAAAAAUAACUCGUGAUCUUUGAUUGGUUAGUAUGAAGGAGGAGUUCUGGGAGAGGAGCCUUUCAUUUCUAAUCGACAAAGACGGGCGAGUGUUAUCAAAUUUCUUCUGACAUGCAACAUAGAUUCAGCUGUGUGGAUAUGUUAUAGAGCUAAAUGUGGUUGGAAAGGUCAUAUACCGGUUUAUGGAGAUGCCAAUACAACAUGCGCUGAAUAAACAUGUCAAUCAUUGUGACAACUCUUUAUUAAAGAUCCAAAAAGGCUGAGUGGGUGUGUUUAUUGUUUAAUAACACACAAGUGUUCUGAUAAAUACAGUGGAUAUGCCUGCAUUUAGUGUAGCAUCUAUCUGUAUUGUUUGUCUUCAAAG